GACGAACGCUGGCGGCGCGCUUAACACGUGCAAGUCGAACGGAAAGGCCUGCUUUCCCUUGUGGAUUGCGGGUACUCGAGUGGCGAACGGGUGAGUAACACGUGAGUGAUCUGCCCCCAACUUGGGUAUAAGCCUGGGAAACUGGGUCUAAUUCCCGAUAGGACUGCAGGGUGGUGCCUGUGGUGGAAAACGAUUUUCUAGUGGUUGGGGAUGAGCUCGCGGCCUAUCAGCUUGUUGGUGGGGUAAUGGCCUACCAAGGCGGCGACGGGUAGCCGGCCUGGGGGGGUGGACGGCCACAUUGGGACUGAGAUACGGCCCAGACUCCUACGGGAGGCAGCAGUGGGGAAUAUUGCACAAUGGGCGGAAGCCUGAUGCAGCGACGCCGCGUGGGGGAUGACGGCCUUCGGGUUGUAAACUCCUUUCGACCGCGAGGAAGCCACCUGGUUGGAAGGGUGGUGACGGUAGUGGUAGAAGAAGCACCGGCUAACUACGUG
RNAcentral lists this ribosomal RNA (494 nucleotides) under uncultured bacterium. RNAcentral describes it as "partial 16S ribosomal RNA". It matches the Rfam family "Bacterial small subunit ribosomal RNA", at positions 28 to 507 of the family's 1533-position model. The record is from RNAcentral.